GACGAACGCUGGCGGCGUGCUUAACACAUGCAAGUCGAACGAAGAGCGACGGAAGCUUGCUUCUUUCAAUCUUAGUGGCGAACGGGUGAGUAAUGCGUAAUCAACCUGCCCUUGAGAGGGGGACAACAGUUGGAAACGACUGCUAAUACCCCAUACGACCUAAUCUCAGCAUCGAGGAUGGAUGAAAGGUUGCCUCUACAUGUAAGCCAUCACUGAAGGAGGGGAUUGCGUGGGAUUAGCUAGUUGGGGGGGCAAAGGCCCCCCAUAGGGAAGAUCAGUAGGCUGUCUGGGAGGAAGGACGGGCACAAUGGGACUGGGAACAGGCCCAGGACUCUACGGGGAGGAGCAGGUGGGGAUCAUCCGACAUGGAGGGAAGUCUGGAGGCACAACUCCGGGUGGGAGGUAAAAGGCUUCGGGUUUGAAAGGUCCGUUAAGCGGGGAGAAAGGCAUUCUUGCGAAUAGCUAGAAGGAUUGACGGUACCGGAAGAGAAAGCCACGGCUAACUACGUG
This 510-nucleotide ribosomal RNA is filed under the name uncultured bacterium. RNAcentral's name for it is "partial 16S ribosomal RNA". It matches the Rfam family "Bacterial small subunit ribosomal RNA", at positions 28 to 507 of the family's 1533-position model. The record is from RNAcentral.